ACGCACGCUGGCGGUGUGCUUAACACAUGCAAGUCGAACGGUAAGGCCCUUUCGGGGGUACACGAGUGGCGAACGGGUGAGUAACACGUGAGUAACCUGCCCUCAUCUCUGGGAUAACAGUCGGAAACGGUUGCUAAUACUGGAUAUGAGCUUGCAAGGCAUCUUGUGGGUUGGAAAGAUUUUUUUGGUUGGGGAUGGACUCGCGGCCUAUCAGCUUGUUGGUGAGGUAGUGGCUCACCAAGGCUUCGACGGGUAGCCGGCCUGAGAGGGCGACCGGCCACAUUGGGACUGAGAUACGGCCCAAACGCCUACGGGAGGCAGCAGUGGGGAAUAUUGCACAAUGGACGGAAGUCUGAUGCAGCAACGCCGCGUGCGGGAUGACGGCCUUCGGGUUGUAAACCGCUUUCAAUUGUGACGAAGCUUUUUGUGACGGUAGCAGUAGAAGAAGCACCGGCUAACUACGUG
RNAcentral lists this ribosomal RNA (465 nucleotides) under uncultured bacterium. Its description in RNAcentral is "partial 16S ribosomal RNA". It matches the Rfam family "Bacterial small subunit ribosomal RNA", at positions 29 to 507 of the family's 1533-position model. The record is from RNAcentral.